UUCUCUUCUUCAUUUCUUUUCUCCAUUUUUUUUCUCUCCUCUCAUUUCCUUUCCUUUCCUUCUCUUCUCUAUUUUGCUUCUUUUACCUAACUUGAUACAUUUUGAUCUUAUUUGAUCGACUUAACGGUCGAAUUGAUGAUAUCCGUCUCCCGAGUCUGUUUUAGACACUGAGGGGAAGUUUAAUGGAAAUGAUGUAGUUUAGAAUGGAUAAGCUAACCUCUCAGGAAUGUUGCUUCCCUUUUUGGUUGAGGCAUGCCUGUUGGGAAUGAGCUGAAUAUAAUUCUGAUCCUCACAAACUUCCUCCUUAUUUCUAAAACUCGGCACCUGUUCUAGUUGAAGAGUUUAGGUGAGUCCUAAAGUUUCGAGCGGGGUCUGACCUCCGUUUGUAGGCCUCCGCACACCAUCACUAGUUUCUUCGGGUUAUAGGGUAUUUUUUUAUUUCCAUGUUGAAUUGUAUUUCACUUCAUACUAUUGUUUUGUCGGUACCCCAUUAACAUCUCAUAACUUGACGAGUUUGAGCUCUACACGCGGGAACUCAUAUACAAAAAAAUCAUUUCUCUGCUGCAUUAUCAUCUUCAUUUAAAUCAUCAUUAUCAAAUGCUUUAGAUAUUAUCCUAUUUAAUUAGUAUACUCUUUACUCUUUUACUUGUUUCAGUCAUUUGACUGCGACCAUGCUGGAGCACCGCCUUUAAUCGAGCAACUCGUUAAAAGAAUAAAUCUAAGAUAAUUUUGAUCAUAAAAUAUUCAGUUCUACUUUACUGGCAAUAUUUAAUGAUUAUAACCUUUCAAUUUGUUGAUUAUUUUAAAUGCAAAUAUCAAAAAAUUACCACAAUCCGUUUCAUAGGAUCAAGAAAACCCAGUACUAAAAUAGUUUUUACACAGUUUUGAUAUUGAAAUAUUACUCAUAACACUAAAUGUAACAUUAAAAGACCAUUAUAUGUACAUAAAACGAAAGCUGGCAAAAUAAAAUGAGUCGACAGUUGGAACGUCUUUAAUAACCAGGCUUAGAACUAAACACUGUUCACAUAUUUUGUGAUAGCUUUCUACACAAAUGUAAUGCUAUGAAAAGUUAUGGCUAGAUAAUUGGAAUAACUGUUGAAAUUACAUUUCCCAUGAGAAAACUCUGUCAUUAUCUUACCUAUGAGUAGACAUUUCAGUUUUUGGUAAAUUUUCACCAUUACAUCCAUCUCAUGAGACAGGAGUAAUCCCUGAUCGGUGGGCUUUCAGAAUAGCUAUCACUAGUGGAAAGCAAUUGGGUGAUUGUUUCCUUCUGUGAAAUAAUUUUUCUUCUCUUAUUCCGUGACAUUUUCUAGUAAAUUUUUACUAUUACAAGUGUAAUAGUAAAAAUUUACCCACUCUUUUCAAAUGUGCUUUUUUUAUGACUAACAUAUAUGAGGGUAAGGUAGCAGCUGUUUCUAGCAGGUUGAAUGAUUUGGUGUAAGUGGUAUUGACAAUAUAACCAUUCUAGUUGUCUUGGAUCUAAGAAGACUAUCAUCAUCGUCAUUGUUUAACAUCCUCCUUCCAUGCUGGCAUGGGUUGGACAGAGGCUGCACCAUACUUCUGUUUUGCCAUGGUUUUUACAGCUGGAUACACUUCCUAACACCAACCACUCUGCAGAAUGGACAGUGCUUUUUAUGUGGCACCAGCAUAGGCGAAGUCAGUUUUGGCAUGGUUUUUACAGCUGGAUGCCCUUCCAAGUUCCAAACACUUUACAGUGUGGACAAUGCUUUUAAGUGGAACCUGCACUGACAGGGUCACCAAGUAACUUUGCAAGAUGAGGAGUCUUUGAGAGGGGAGGAGAUGAUCUUGUGCUAGAUGAAUGGUUAAGAGUAUGACAGAAACAUGUCUCUUGCUUCAGAGGAGGUACAUGGUUACCCAGAGGGAGGGAGAGUUAACAAGAGGACAGAAAACAAGUGCUGAUGUGAAGGAGAUACAUGAUUUCCUAGCCAAAGGUAAGAGCAAUCAAGAAUGAGGGAAGAAACAGGUGUGUUGUUGUAGAGGAGAUACACGGUUACCCAGCCAGAGGGAAGAUCAAUUAGUUAAUUUUUAUUAAUGUUAUAGACUUUCUUGAUGGUGAGCCUGGCUCUUUGGGGAAAUGUAUAGGUGUUGGUGGUGGUAAUAGUAAUGAAGACUCUUUUCUGCUCUCCCUCUCUAGUAUUAGACCCCAUCUCCAUACAGCCAUUAUUACCAAAUGGUAUGACCAGCAACAACAGACUGAUCUUGCAUUUCCUCAAAGCAUUUCAGUUCUCCAGUUAAAUGUUAAACACAGGACUUUAUAA
This 2279-nucleotide long non-coding RNA is filed under the name Octopus vulgaris (common octopus). Lineage: Eukaryota; Metazoa; Mollusca; Cephalopoda; Octopoda; Octopodidae. The record is from RNAcentral.